UACGUAGGGUGCGAGCGUUGCCCGGAUUUAUUGGGCGUAAAGAGCUCGUAGGCGGUUCGUCGCGUCGGCUGUGAAAUCCCGAGGCUCAACCUCGGGUCUGCAGUCGAUACGGGCGGACUGGAGUUCGGCAGGGGAGACUGGAAUUCCUGGUGUAGCGGUGAAAUGCGCAGAUAUCAGGAGGAACACCGGUGGCGAAGGCGGGUCUCUGGGCCGAUACUGACGCUGAGGAGCGAAAGCGUGGGGAGCGAACAGG
This 253-nucleotide ribosomal RNA is filed under the name uncultured bacterium. RNAcentral describes it as "partial 16S ribosomal RNA". It matches the Rfam family "Bacterial small subunit ribosomal RNA", at positions 524 to 776 of the family's 1533-position model. The record is from RNAcentral.